Molecule: long non-coding RNA, 1412 nt
Filed under: Numida meleagris (helmeted guineafowl)
Lineage: Eukaryota; Metazoa; Chordata; Aves; Galliformes; Numididae
Description: lncRNA (ENSNMEG00000002024.1)
Source: RNAcentral
UGGGGCGGUGGCCCUGUCCCAUGGGGUGGUGGCAUUGUGGUGUGUCCCAUGGGGCGGUGGCAUCAUGUCCCAUGGUGUGGUGGCAUCUCGUUGUGGGGUGGUGGCUCUGUGUCCCAUGGGGUGGUGGCAUCGCGUUGUGGGGUGGUGGCAUCGCGUUGUGGGGUGGUGGCAUCGCGUUGUGGGGUGGUGGCAUCGCGUUGUGGGGUGGUGGCAUCGCGUUGUGGGAUGGUGGCUUGAUGUCCCAUGGGGUGGUGGCCCUGUCCCGUGGGGUGGUGACAUUGUGGUGUGUCCCGUGGGGAGGUCGCAUCAUGAUGUCCCGUGGGGUGGUGGCAUCACCGUGAGGGAUGGUGGCUUAAUGUCCCAUGGGAUGGUGGCUCUGUCCUAUGGGGUGAUGGCAUCGCGCUGUGGGGCGGUGGCGCUGUGCUGCGCUGUGGGGCGGAGGCACUGUGCUGUGGGGCGGUGGCGUUGGCCGUGGGGCAGCGUGGAAUGUGGGGCAGGGCUGGCCAUGGGGCUCCGUUGCGAUCCCCUUGGGGUUCCCCUUGGGAUCUUAUUGGGGUUCCCCUUGGGAUCUUAUUGGGGUUCCCAUUGCUGUUCCUUUUGGGGUUCCCAUUGCUGUUCUUUUGGGGUUCCCAUUGCAGGUCCCAUUGGGUUCCCGUUGCUGUUCCUUUUGGGGUUCCAUUGCAUGUCCCCUUGGGUUCCCCUUGGGUUCCCCUUGGGUUCCCCUUGGGUUCCCCUUGGGUUCCCCUUGGGUUCCCCUUGGGUUCCCCUUGGGGUUCCCUUUGGGGUUCCUAUUGCCAUUCCCUUUGGGGUUCCUAUUGCCAUUCCCAUUGAGUUCCCAUUAGGGUUCCUAUUGCCGUUACCAUUGGGUUUCUCACUGGGAUCCUGUUGGGGUUCCUAUUGCGGAUCCCCUUGGGAUCUUUUUGGGGUUCCAGUUAGGAUUCCCAUUGCGUUCCUGUUGGGGUUCCUAUUGCGGUUCCCAUUGGGUUCCCCUUGGGGUUCCCAUUGCCGUUCCUUUUGAGAUCCCAUUGGGUUCCCCUUGGGGUUCCCAGUGCUGCUCCCUUUGGGAUCUUUUUGGGGUUCCCCUUGGGCUUCCUAUUGCCAUUCCCAUUGGGGUUCCCAUUGGGGUUCCUGUUGGGUUUCUCACUGGGAUCCUUUUGGGGUUCCACUUGGGGUUCCCCUUGGGCUUCCUAUUGCCUUUCCUAUUGGGAUUCCCUUUGGGGUUCCCAUUGGAUUUCUCACUGGGAUCCUGUUGGGAUCCCAUUGGGGUUCCCAUUGGGGUUCCCAUUGCCGUUCCCUUUGGGAUCCUUUUGGGGUUCCCCUUGGGGUUCCUAUUGCGGAUCCCCUUGGGAUCUUUUUGGGGUUCCAGUUGGGAUUCCCAUUGGGUUCCUGUUGGGGUUCCUAUUGCGGUUCCC